Molecule: ribosomal RNA, 501 nt
Filed under: Triticum aestivum (bread wheat)
Lineage: Eukaryota; Viridiplantae; Streptophyta; Magnoliopsida; Poales; Poaceae
Description: partial small subunit ribosomal RNA
Source: RNAcentral
AUGGGGGCAGGGAGGCAUGUGUGCAGCGUCUUUUCCACAAAAUACUUUGUAGAUAUCUUGAGGGACACAGUGUCAUCUCAAAUCAUUGUUGCUGAUGAGAAGAUCAUUCCUAUCUCAAAGGAUUCAGUUCCUUAUGUGUUGGGCCUGCUAGACAGUGGUGAUUUAGCGACACAAGACAAGGAUAGUGGGAGGAACUUCAUUUUGUCUCGGUUCAGCUUGACAGAAAUGCCAAACAUUACUUUCUUUGGAGACAUGCUCAUAUCUUCUGAUUUUCACAGCGAGGAAGGCACUUUCAUAUGCUUCAUGGUGAUCGCAAUGUCGUGCUUCCUUUUUCCAUCUUCCAGCAAUCAGAUUCACAUUGAGUUUUUGACCUUGCUUGUUAAUCCAAAGCGCACAAGUGGUUUUGAUUUCUGUGCGCUUGUGUAUGAUUGGAUACUCACUGGCAUCAACAAGUUUGUGAUUUCUGGCAGAGUACCUGGCAGGAAACCAGAGGUGUUUUGA